This 405-nucleotide ribosomal RNA is filed under the name Triticum aestivum (bread wheat). RNAcentral's name for it is "partial small subunit ribosomal RNA". The record is from RNAcentral. Lineage: Eukaryota; Viridiplantae; Streptophyta; Magnoliopsida; Poales; Poaceae.
AUGCCAGAAGAAUGGAGACGGAGUAUAUUAGUACCAAUCUUCAAGAACAAGGGGGAUGUUCAGAGUUUUACUAAUUACCGUGGAACUAAGCUGAUGAGCCAUACAAUGAAGCUAUGGGAGAGAGUCAUUGAGCACCGCUUAAGAAGAAUGACAAGCGUGACCAAAAAUCAGUUUGGUUUCAUGCCUGGGAGGUCGACCAUGGAAGCCAUUUUCUUGGUACGACAACUUAUGAAGAGAUAUAGGGAGCAAAAGAAGGACUUGCAUAUGGUGUUCAUUGACUUGGGGAAGGCCUAUGAUAAGAUACCACGGAAUGUCAUGUGGUGGGCCUUGGAGAAACACAAAGUCUCAGCAAAGUACAUUACCCUCAUUAAGGACAUGUACGAUAAUGUUGUGACAAGUGUUUGA